Molecule: long non-coding RNA, 356 nt
Organism: Neltuma alba
Lineage: Eukaryota; Viridiplantae; Streptophyta; Magnoliopsida; Fabales; Fabaceae
Exons: 3
Source: RefSeq, a predicted model, not a curated record
UCAAGCUCUUCACACCAAAAAUGGCUUCUUGGAAUUCAUUGCCCCUCCAUGUCUCUUACGAAGUUGUGGGUUGGCUUGUUUUCACCUUGUAGUCUAUCAGUUUCUACCCACAAGUCAUCUUAAACUAUCGUAGGAAAAGUGUGGUGGGAUUGAACUUUGAUUUUGAGGUGUUGAAUCUCACGAAGCACACCUGUUAUUUGAUAUACAAUGCAUCUCUAUACCUCAGUUCUACUGUUCAGAAGCAAUACAAAGACAAAUAUUGUCAUAAUGAGAUGAUACCUGUAGCAGCAAAUGAUGUUGCCUUCUCAUCCCAUGCUGUUCUGCUCACAAUUUUUACCAUAUUCCAGAUUGCAAUC